GGUGGGUAGCUCACUGGCAGAGUGCGUGCUUAGCAUGCACAAUGUCCUGGGUUCAAAUCCCAGGACCACCA
RNAcentral lists this transfer RNA (71 nucleotides) under Camelus bactrianus (Bactrian camel). It matches the Rfam family "tRNA". From Rfam's summary of the family: Transfer RNA (tRNA) molecules are approximately 80 nucleotides in length. Lineage: Eukaryota; Metazoa; Chordata; Mammalia; Artiodactyla; Camelidae. RNAcentral also lists the same sequence under 2 other names. The record is from Rfam by way of RNAcentral.